GGCGAUCAGAUACCGCCCUAGUUCUGACCGUAAACGAUGCCAACUAGCGAUCCGCUAGUCGACUCAUCGCUCUGGUGGGGAGCUUCCCGGAAACGAAAGUCUUCCGGUUCCGGGGGAAGUAUGGUUGCAAAGCUGAAACUUAAAGGAAUUGACGGAAGGGCACCACCAGGAGUGGAGCCUGCGGCUUAAUUUGACUCAACACGGGGAAACUCACCCGGCCCGGACACCGUAAGGAUUGACAGAUUGAUAGCUUUUUCAUGAUUCGGUGGAUGGUGGUGCAUGGCCGUUCUUAGUUCGUGGAGCGAUUUGUCUGGUUUAUUCCGAUAACGAGCGAGACUCUGGCCUACUAAAUAGUUGGCACAUUGCCACUGUGUGCCCAACUUCUUAGAGGGAUUUUCGGUGUUCAGCCGCACGAAAUUGAGCAAUAACAGGUCUGUGAUGCCCUUAGAUGUCCGGGGCUGCACGCGCGCUACACUGGCAAAAUCAGCGUGCUUGUCCUCCCCCGAAAGGGGUUGGUAAACCGAUGAAAAUUUGCCGUGAUUGGGAUCGGACAUUGCAAUUAUUGUCCGUGAACGAGGAAUCCCUUGUAAGGGCGAGUCAUCAACUCGUCCUGAAUACGUCCCUGCCCUUGUA
This 633-nucleotide ribosomal RNA is filed under the name Rotylenchulus reniformis. Its description in RNAcentral is "SSU rRNA". It matches the Rfam family "Eukaryotic small subunit ribosomal RNA", at positions 1003 to 1664 of the family's 1831-position model. The record is from RNAcentral. Lineage: Eukaryota; Metazoa; Nematoda; Chromadorea; Rhabditida; Hoplolaimidae.